CAAUAGCGUAUAAUUAAGUUGCUGCAGUUAAAAAGCUCGUAGUUGGAUUUCGGGUGGGAAUGGCCGGUCCGCCGUUUCGGUGUGCACUUGCUACGCCCACCUUGCUGCCGGGGACGUGCUCUUGAGUUCACGCUCGGGACACGGAGUCGGCGAGGUUACUUUGAGUAAAUUAGAGUGUUCAAAGCAGGCCUACGCUCUGAAUACAUUAGCAUGGAAUAACACGAUAGGACUCUGGCCUAUCUUGUUGGUCUGUAGGACCGGAGUAAUGAUUAAGAGGGACAGUCGGGGGCAUUCGUAUUUCAUUGUCAGAGGUGAAAUUCUUGGAUUUAUGAAAGACGAACUACUGCGAAAGCAUUUGCCAAGGAUGUUUUCAUUAA
RNAcentral lists this ribosomal RNA (377 nucleotides) under uncultured eukaryote. RNAcentral describes it as "partial 18S ribosomal RNA". It matches the Rfam family "Eukaryotic small subunit ribosomal RNA", at positions 592 to 976 of the family's 1831-position model. The record is from RNAcentral.